AGUGAACGCUGGCGGUAGGCCUAACACAUGCAAGUCGAACGGCAGCACAGUAAGAGCUUGCUCUUACGGGUGGCGAGUGGCGGACGGGUGAGGAAUACAUCGGAAUCUACUUUUUCGUGGGGGAUAACGUAGGGAAACUUACGCUAAUACCGCAUACGACCUACGGGUGAAAGCAGGGGAUCUUCGGACCUUGCGCGAUUGAAUGAGCCGAUGUCGGAUUAGCUAGUUGGCGGGGUAAAGGCCCACCAAGGCGACGAUCCGUAGCUGGUCUGAGAGGAUGAUCCGACACAGUGGAACUGAGACACGGUCCAGACUCCUACGGGAGGCAGCAGUGGGGAAUAUUGGACAAUGGGCGCAAGCCUGAUCCAGCCAUACCGCGUGGGUGAAGAAGGCCUUCGGGUUGUAAAGCCCUUUUGUUGGGAAAGAAAAGCAGCAGGUUAAUACCCCGCUGUUCGGACGGUACCCAAAGAAUAAGCACCGGCUAACUCCGU
RNAcentral lists this ribosomal RNA (491 nucleotides) under uncultured bacterium. Its description in RNAcentral is "partial 16S ribosomal RNA". It matches the Rfam family "Bacterial small subunit ribosomal RNA", at positions 29 to 506 of the family's 1533-position model. The record is from RNAcentral.